UUUUUUUUGGAGAUUGUUCCACUUGGAGUCUUCUCAGUGACCCAGGACAGGGCCUUUCCUCAUCUGAGCAAUAUGAAGAAAUUGGAGAAGACAGUGUUUAAGGGAUUACAUAUCUAAAGUUAGUAUUUGCAAAAGCUGUAUUUGAGCACAAUCCAGACCCAGAAUUUUAGGCUGUUGGAAUUACUUUGUGCUGAGCUUCCCAACUAUUGUCCCCGAGUUCCUGUAAGUAUGACAGGCUGAGGGAAAAAUCAAAUCAGUUGGCUGGUAGGAUUUCUCCAGUGCUAAAUGCGAAUGGACAUUCUGAAACUUUCAUCACAACAGAGGCUAACAGUGAUAUUUGCUGCUGGUCUUGAGGACUAUAAAAGAAAGUCACAGGCCAAAUUCAGAUGAUUCUGAUGAGGUUCCUUGGUAUUGAAUCGGGUCAAUAUCUGAAGCAUUUUUCUAUGAAGCUAUAAUGUUUAUAAACAGAAUAAGGAAAUACAGCAGAUGUUCAUCUUGUCCUUCAUUCUUCCACUCAGAAGCAUUUUGUCAGACAGAUUCUUCGAAUCCUCUCUGAAUCCUCAAUUGUUCUCCAGGGCAGUUUGUCAUGAGAAGCUCCAAGCAGGAGCCAUUUAGUAAUUCUUAGACCUAGUGCCUAACUCUCCCUGCCUGAAAGAGCUUCUUAAAGACUCAAAUUUCCUUUGGCUUUAGUGAAAUGUUAUGACAGCUUUGCAAACAGAGUGCAUGGCUUUUAUUCUCAAAGAAGGGAAGUAAAAGUUUCUGUUAAAAAGUAUCUAAUUAGUUUUGUUUCUCAAAAAAGAAAAGGACACAUUUUAUGUUCUGCCUGAGGGAGUCAUGCUUCUCCUUUCUAGAUUGUCUAUUUUCUUCUCUGGGCCUGGGCUUAUAGUUUUAAAGGGUUCUCAAAAACAGUGACAGUGAAACAGAGGAGGCAAUAGCCAAAGUCAGAGAUGUUAAGAUAACACAUUUCACUGCUUACUCACUUCUGUUUUCAUUUGCAUUGGUGUCAGAUUCAUUAAGGAUUAUUUUCAUGGAGCUAAGGCUUAAUAAGUAAAUAUUGGUGCUUUAUUAAUAAUAAUAGUACUUAUUAAUAGCUAAGUAAUAGUAAAUAAGUAAAUAAUAGUAAAUAGUGGUUUUCUCUCUGAGAAAAUCAAGACCAACUAUGCCAAAAUCGCUGGACAAAGAAAGACAAAAUUCAAAAAGAAGAGGCAGGCAAAGGGGAUGUGAAAAAACAAAGCUAUCCAAGAAUACUCUAGGAUUAAUUUGCCUUCAAAUUUCUGUAGCACUGUGCUCUGCUUCCUAUAUCACUCGUUAACACUUGUUAAUCACACUUCUACUGUGAUUUCUCAAUGUAUGAGUGACAUCUUUUUCCCAGAGCAGGUUGCGGUUUGCAUUUACAAGGCUCCAGUGAGUGCAUUACUACACAUACAAAAGCAUUGCUACAACUUGCGCUCGGAGAAGGAUUGAAGGCUAGUUUGUGAUCUUAAUCUGUGAGCUCAAUCUGAUUUUAAUCUGUGAAAAGUGAAGGAAGCUUUCAUGAUAUACUUGGUCUUUGGAAGAAAUUUGACAGAAAGUCUGUUCAGUCAGUCUUUGAUUUCAGAAUGAUUUCAGCCUUGUGUAACCCUUCACAAAACUCAUUUGUAUGGAUGGAGCUCCACUGGCCUUAUCCUGGAGGGACACUGUCCUGGAUUUGAGCCAGAUUUCAGACAAAGCCAGCUUGGGUAUCUAACUGGUGAGACUUGGCAUGGUUGGUCUGGUGAAAUUAUUACUGACAAAUUCCUUUAGGAUCUAGCUGUGAACACAACAUGAAGUGUUCAACACCUAUUACCACAGGCUACCUUAUAAUUCAAGCCUAGUGACUUUUUGAUAAAAAUCUUUCAUUUCUUAUAAUCUCUAAUCAAAAUUUCUGUGUUAUGUUCAGUGCGUAUCAUUUUUUCAGGUAUUCUUUCUUCAUAAUCAUCAAAGCAUUAUCUCUCCUGGAAGUAACUACUGUCAAAACUUCAGCUCUUUUUGAUGGUACUGGCAGUUUGCAGAGUAAGAACUUUUGCAUCUUCCUAAUGUCUUGCUCACAUCCUGUACAGCUUUAUCUUUAGUGGGUCUCUUUAACUAUUCUACUUCUGAAUUUUCUUCUGUCUAAUUUACUUCUGAUAUAAGUUUGCUGCUUAUCAGCAGGUAAUUUUCAGACAGUAUCAUACAGGUCAUCUUCCUUCAGUGUCUGAAAUACCACAGGCCAGUAGAGGCUUUUGUUUAGUAAUAACAUCAGUUUCAAGUAAGCAAUUCCAGAGUUUUUAAGAUGUGUACAAUUCUGUGUAUUUUGAAGAAUAACUGAUAUGUGUCUGAAAUCUGUUUGUUUGUUGUUUUUUUGUUUUGGUAGCUUGUUAGUUUGUGUGUAUGUUUUUAUUCAUUUGUUGUAGACAUGUACUUACCAGUUUUUAUCUGACACUCCUCUCAAUUUUAGGAACAAAUAACCUAUAGUGUAUCAGAAAAAAAAGAGACUACCUCAUAUCUAAUACCCUUUACAACAUGUUUCCUGCUAAUUAAUUACUGAAAUACUUUUGGGAACCUUAAUUAUGUAAAUAAUGAUAAAAUAAGCUCAAUUGGUUGGAAUGUUUUUCUAAUCAUAUUUCUUUAAUAGGAGCUUUUUGAAUCUGAUGGCAUGAUUGUAAAAGUUUGAAAGAUAAAAAGCGUUCUCUUAUUCAACUUAAAGUCAUUUCAAGUUUGAUAAAAACACAUGAAAAUAAAAUGCUCAGUGAAUUUGAA
Lagopus muta (rock ptarmigan) is the source of this 2757-nucleotide long non-coding RNA. RefSeq lists it as uncharacterized. NCBI's taxonomy places the organism in Eukaryota, Metazoa, Chordata, Aves, Galliformes, Phasianidae. The transcript has 6 exons. The record is from RefSeq and is a predicted model, not a curated record.